RNAcentral lists this ribosomal RNA (490 nucleotides) under uncultured bacterium. Its description in RNAcentral is "partial 16S ribosomal RNA". It matches the Rfam family "Bacterial small subunit ribosomal RNA", at positions 29 to 507 of the family's 1533-position model. The record is from RNAcentral.
AGUGAACGCUGGCGGCAGGCCUAACACAUGCAAGUCGAACGGCAGCACAAGAGAGCUUGCUCUCUGGGUGGCGAGUGGCGGACGGGUGAGGAAUGCAUCGGAAUCUGCCCAUUUGUGGGGGAUAACCUCGGGAAACCGGGACUAAUACCGCAUACGACCUACGGGUGAAAGCAGGGGAUCUUCGGACCUUGCGCAGAUGGAUGAGCCGAUGCCGGAUUAGCUAGUUGGAGGGGUAAAGGCCCCCCAAGGCGACGAUCCGUAGCUGGUCUGAGAGGAUGAUCAGCCACACGGGGACUGGGACAGGGCCCAGACUCCUACGGGAGGCAGCAGUGGGGAAUAUUGGACAAUGGGCGCAAGCCUGAUCCAGCCAUGCCGCGUGUGUGAAGAAGGCCUUCGGGUUGUAAAGCACUUUUGUUGGGAAAGAAAAGCAGCCGGUUAAUACCCGGUUGUCAUGACGGUACCCAAAGAAUAAGCACCGGCUAACUUCGUG